CCUGAUGCGCAGCUACCAUGCAGUCGAGCGAGCUCUUCGGAGCUAGCGGCGGACGGGUUAGUAACGCGUGGGAACGUGCCCUUCACUGCGGAAUAGCCACUGGAAACGGUGAGUAAUACCGCAUACGCCCUUCGGGGGAAAGAUUUAUCGGUGAAGGAUCGGCCCGCGUUAGAUUAGAUAGUUGGUGGGGUAACGGCCUACCAAGUCUACGAUCUAUAGCUGGUUUUAGAGGAUGAUCAGCAACACUGGGACUGAGACACGGCCCAGACUCCUACGGGAGGCAGCAGUGGGGAAUCUUGGACAAUGGGCGCAAGCCUGAUCCAGCCAUGCCGCGUGAGUGAUGAAGGCCUUAGGGUCGUAAAGCUCUUUCGCCAGAGAUGAUAAUGACAGUAUCUGGUAAAGAAACCCCGGCUAACUCCGUGCCAGCAGCCGCGGUAAUACGGAGGGGGUUAGCGUUGUUCGGAAUUACUGGGCGUAAAGCGCACGUAGGCGGAUCAGAAAGUUGGGGGUGAAAUCCCGGGGCUCAACCCCGGAACUGCCUCCAAAACUCCUGGUCUUGAGUUCGAGAGAGGUGAGUGGAAUUCCGAGUGUAGAGGUGAAAUUCGUAGAUAUUCGGAGGAACACCAGUGGCGAAGGCGGCUCACUGGCUCGAUACUGACGCUGAGGUGCGAAAGUGUGGGGAGCAAACAGGAUUAGAUACCCUGGUAGUC
This 710-nucleotide ribosomal RNA is filed under the name Marinovum sp. Its description in RNAcentral is "bacterial SSU rRNA". It matches the Rfam family "Bacterial small subunit ribosomal RNA", at positions 47 to 795 of the family's 1533-position model. Lineage: Bacteria; Pseudomonadati; Pseudomonadota; Alphaproteobacteria; Rhodobacterales; Roseobacteraceae. The record is from RNAcentral.